This 484-nucleotide ribosomal RNA is filed under the name uncultured bacterium. RNAcentral describes it as "partial 16S ribosomal RNA". It matches the Rfam family "Bacterial small subunit ribosomal RNA", at positions 29 to 507 of the family's 1533-position model. The record is from RNAcentral.
AUUGAACGCUGGCGGCAUGCUUUACACAUGCAAGUCGAACGGCAGCGCGGGCUUCGGCCUGGCGGCGAGUGGCGAACGGGUGAGUAAUACAUCGGAACGUGCCCAGUAGCGGGGGAUAGCUCGGCGAAAGCCGGAUUAAUACCGCAUACGACCUGAGGGUGAAAGCGGGGGAUCUUCGGACCUCGCGCCAUUGGACCGGCCGAUGGCAGAUUAGCUAGUUGGUGGGGUAAAGGCCUACCAAGGCGACGAUCUGUAGCUGGUCUGAGAGGACGACCAGCCACACUGGGACUGAGACACGGCCCAGACUCCUACGGGAGGCAGCAGUGGGGAAUUUUGGACAAUGGGCGAAAGCCUGAUCCAGCAAUGCCGCGUGUGUGAUGAAGGCCUUCGGGUUGUAAAGCACUUUUGGCGGGAACGAAAAGGACUGUGCCAAUACCACGGUUCGAUGACGGUACCCGCAGAAUAAGCACCGGCUAACUACGUG